RNAcentral lists this long non-coding RNA (829 nucleotides) under Coturnix japonica (Japanese quail). RNAcentral describes it as "lncRNA (ENSCJPG00005001673.1)". The record is from RNAcentral. Lineage: Eukaryota; Metazoa; Chordata; Aves; Galliformes; Phasianidae.
UGGGGAAGGGUCCUAAAGGGGAUGGGAUGGAUAUGGGGGGCAGUGAGGGGAUGGGGAAGGGGAAGGGUCCUCAAGAGGAUGGGGUGGGAGGAGGUUAUGGGGUGGGGAAGGGUCAGUCAAUGGUUGGGUUGGGUCCUAAAGGGGAUGGGAUGGAUAUGGGGGGCAGUGAGGGGAUGGGGAAGGGGAAGGGUCCUCAAGGGGAUGGGGUAGGAGGAGGUUAUGGGGUGGGGAAGGGUCCUCAAGGGGAUGGGGUGAGUAUGGGGGGCGAUGAGGGGAGGGGGAAGGGUGACGUCGGCCAACAGUUGGGUGAGGGGUUGGGGGUCCCCGUGGGGCCAAUUGGGGGCGAUAGUGAGGGGGGGGUUGAUGGGUUGGGGGCUGAGGGGGAUGGGAAGGGAUAUGGGGCGGGCGCCAUGUUGGGGACCAGGAAGGAUGUGGGGCCAGGUGAGGUGAGGGUGAAGGGCCUGGUGACGGCCAAGGGGUGGGGGGCUGGGAAGGGCCCCAAAGGGGGAUGGGGGGCAGAUGAGGGUCGUGGGGUGGUCAGGGAGAUGGUGAGGGGAUGGAAGGGGCAGGGGGCGGCCGAGGGGGCAACUAUGGCAACAAUGGAGGCCAAGAUGGAGGCCAAGAUGGAGGCCAAGAUGGAGGCCAAGAUGGCGCCAUCAACCACGUCACCGUCGGCCAUGACACCCCCAACCACGUCCCCAACGGAGGCCAAGAUGGCGGCCAAGAUGGCGCCAUCAACCACAUCAUCAAUAACCAUGGCAACAACAGAGGCCAAGAUGGCGGCCAAGAUGGCAGCCAAGAUGGAGGCCAAGAUGGAGGCCAAGGUGCC